UGGAUAUAUUGGGUUAAAUAAAAUAUACUAUUAACAUUAAUUUACCUGUUUCUGUUUUUUUCAAACUAUGGCUACUAAACAAUGUGGAAUCGCAUCUGUGACUCAUGUCAUGGCUUGUGUCAUAUUUCUGUUGGACAGCGCUGGUUUAGACCAUCAUUUGGGUCUGAAUUUGGGUAUCCAUGAAUUAGUGAGAGGGAGAUAGGUAAAAGCACCUUAGAUUUUUGUGACCUGUUCUUGGGAUUAGUGUCCAUUCCAAGAUUUGCCAAAUUCCCUCACGUGGGUGUGCCUUUUGGAAUUUUAGAAGUGUUCCGAUGUCCUGAUGCUUGAUGCUGGUAGGAUUCAGGGUGUGUCCUAGUGGUAGUAGGGCAGGCUGUAAAAGCAGGGACUCCUACUGGGGAGGUACAAGAAAUGACCAGGCUGUCACUCCUGGUCAGGAGGCCUUUGCUCCAUCUGUAAGACAGACAUGCUCACAAUCAGAAAGGUCACCACUUCUGUUCCUGCAGUUGUCUCCUUGCCCUGCUUUGGCUAUUUACUGCACUGGAAAGAGAACCAAUGAUGGCAGAAUCUAUAAAUAACCAUAGGAUGCACAGGCCCUGAGAAAGAUCCUUUUUCUUCCCUAUUUUCUCUGUAGUCAAAGCUCAGCAAGAAGCCUGGAUCCAGGUCUGAGUUCUACAGCUAGUAAGGUCAUGGAGAAGUUGGCAAGGUUAGAAAGAAAGCCCCAGAGAAGGCUAAAGCAUCAGAAAAUUGAAUUUCUGACAGAAGGCCAACCUAACUUGGACGAUUUCCUCUGGAGAAGAAAAGGCUUCAAGUAUCUGAAAGGUUACUCUGCAGAAGGUUGUGGAUAAUUGUUCUGUCUCCACCAAGAACGAAACUGGUGGAAAAACAUUUAAACCACUACAUAGGGGAUUUGAUUUUCAGGGUAAGAGGAAUUUCCUGACAUUGAACAUAGUUUAUCCUUGGAAGAGUUUCUGUUAGUGUCUGCCCAGCCGUCUCCCUCAAAUUUCUUGCCUAGACUGCAGUGACAUUCCUGGGAGACCUCCACUGCAUAAUCGGGGAUCAGAGUUUAUGCCCUGAGAUGGGGGGAAGGCUUAGGGUCAUUUUGUCAGAGAAAAGAGGCCAGAAGCCAAACCCAUGAUGCCAGGCUAUUGGUCUUUGCCUCAUUCCUGCCUCCCAACCUGUGUAAUCUUCCCUCUUGCCGUUGAUUUUAGUCACUCGGGUUUUUACUUGAAAACAUUAAGUUAGCUUAAGCAGAAAAGCUGGAGCCAGUUCAUAAUGGUUCCUGAGCGCCAAUUGUUAAAUUUUCAGGAACUUUCUGAGCUGGUCUGAUGUCACAUUGGUAGCUUGAAAUCAGACAUGGGAGGAAAAUUUACACCACGGAAAUUGGCAAACAGUACAAUUCAGAGCCCCCUGUCUCUUCUUCCCCUUGGAGAGCCAGUUGUUAAACAUUUACCAGCAUCUGGCUGGGUGUUAGUAGCAUAACAUGACUGGUAGCUUUCUGUGCUCCUGUCUCAGGUCCUCAGACCACUUCUGAUUUCAGCCGUGGCUCUAGUGGUCAGUUUCCCUGCACAUAGAUUGCAUCUCAUCUCAAGUGUCCUCUAUCUCUGUCCUCUUUUCUGAUUCAGAGCUUUCCCCGAAGCCACAAAGUUCUCCCAGCUGUUGCAUAGGACAGCCUGGAGGUAUGGGGAAAUCAACGCUUCCGAGCACAAACCUCAACAAGUGGGGGCUGGGAGCCAGAGAAUACAUGCCUCGGACACGCAUCCUUUGAAGAGAGAGAGCAUUCUGCAUCCCAUUCUGCAUGAUUUCUCGGUGGGUCCCCAGUAGGACUGAGCCCCAUUUACUCAUCCUUAUUGACUUUUUCUCCUUCUCUGUCUUACUCUCCUCUCUCCUUCACUCCUGAUUCCUGGGGUGGUCUUCAAAAUGAACUACUUGCGCCUGUAUCCUUGUCUUAGGUUCUGCUUUUGAGGGAAGUCAAACUAACACAGGAGCUCAGAGAGUCCCUAGGAGAGCCAGAAAACCAGGCUGGGAGGGCACGUCGCCAGAAAUGAUGCCCCAAAUCAUCUACAGGGCUGGUUCAUUGGCAGCACCUCUGCUCCCUUCAUUGGGCCACAGACAUGUCACUGCUGAUCCUGAGCACUGGACAUUACUACUAGAAACUCUGCCACUGCCCCUUGGAAACCAGACAUAGCUGCCUCUACUCUCGACAGAAUGCUUCUUCAAGCCGCUAACUUCUGAUCAAAGCCUGGAGUGAGUGUGUGCGCCUCACCGGUGGACCCUAGAUCUCACAUUUUCUUUCUAGCUGUAAGGAAUGUUGGAAAGAGGGGUGGCUUGACUGAUAGGAAUAUUUUUCGAGCUCCUUGUAUACGUUGCCGAAAAGAUUAUACCAGUUACUCUCCAUCCAGCACUCACUGACCCCACAUCAUUUCUGGUGGCCCGUACAGGGACUUACUUCAUCGGCUUGUGAGCUCGAGUUCUGGUAAGUGCCCCUUUUCCUUGUGCCUUUCUCUUUUUCGAGGAUGGAUCUAAAUUCACUUCUCCAUUGGAAACUUUCUUGGAUGGCUGUAUGAAUUCAUGUUUGCUGCCCAUGGCUACUCUAUGGGGUAAAUCGUGGCAUUCAGCUUGAAGAGAAUCAGUACCUUAAGCCUCAGGGUGAUGGAGAAUGAAUUAAUCCAUUCCUUCCUGACUCUAUCUCUAAUAGACAAAUUUUACGUGGGCGCAGGUCUACCACUUAAGUCAUUAGGAUGGUCGCCAAUCUCCAAGACUCCUGUGGAAGGUUUCUUUUCCUAAGGCUGGAUUGGAAUCCCUCCCAUGGCACCUGACCAUGCUCUGAACUGAGGGAAAGUCCCAAUCGGGACUCCAGUUCAAGGAAAAUACCAAACUCUAACCUUUGGUGGAGUAUGGGAACCCCUUCUUGGGAGAAUGGCUCCAGGAUGCAAUUGGGUAGAAUGUCCCCCAGACUGGCAGAAAAUUCCUCACUGUUUUUCUCUAUCCUUUAUCCUGGGGACCAUUCACCAGGCACCUAUUACUGCCAGGCAUAAUAGGGAAGAUGUUCAAGGGAUGCCCCCAUCAUCCCUUGCUACAGGAACCCCAUUGGGGGGAUUUUCAAGGUAAUGGCUCCUUUUCUUUCAUCUCUCUUAAAGUUUUCCUUUUCUCUCAGGGACCAUUCACCAGGCACCUGUUAUUGCCAGGCAUAACAGGGAAGGUAUACAAGGGAUGCAAUGCCGGGGGAUGCCCCCAUCACCCCUUGCUAUAGGAACCCCACAGUAGGAACAAUGGCAGGAUGCUGCCCUAGGUUCAGGGGGGAUUUUUCAAGGUAAUGGACCUGUUUCUUUCAUCUCUCUUAGAGUUACAAUGGCCAUUUUUGUCUCCUUUUGAGCUUUGCAACCGGGAAACAAAGAAAUCUUUAAAGAGUCAAAGGCUCCACCCCUGGGAGCCCCAACUUUGGGUUUCUGGGCCUGACCACCCCAGCGACCCUAAGUGGGGGUGCCCUCUCUUGACGGUUAACUCAUUGAGUAUUUUAGUCACCUACUGAGUCAGUUAUGAGGGUAGGAGACCUGUGAUUUAUUCUGUGAACUGUCGUGCUAGGGUAGUGUGUCCCAGCACGGGAACUGUUGUGUGACUCUUAUCUUGAUAACCCUCUGGAAGAGGCCAUGAGGGCGAGGUCUGAUCUCUUCUUUUCCUUUCUUUGUCUGUCUUCUUCAUCACCUGCUUUGUUGUCACCAAGUCGAGGUUAAGUUCAGGCUGGACCUGAGCAGAACCUUGACCUUCUGUAAAAUUGAAAAAAUAAGCCUUUUGCCAGGGAUUUAACUCUCAACCCUGACGCUGGGAGCCCCGGCCUCCAGCCAGUUCCAGACCUUUGUGUCCUGCUUCCCUACCUCAACUGUGCUGGCUCGGAGACAAAGUGCCCAGGCUGAGCGGGACUUGACUAAAUCUUAUAACUAUGUCAACACCGGCAAUCAGCCUCUGCACACCCGCAAUUGGCCUCUGCACCCUUUCUCCAGCUGCUGUCAGUCAGACACAGGCUUUACUGUCACAGGGAAGGCCCCCUAAGUAUCCCCAGAGACCCACCCUGCGGAUGCAUUCUAACUCCAUCUGGGAGAAAAUUUGAGGGGUUUCUCUGUGCCUUUAUGAUGUAGUUGGACAGGUAGAUCAGCCUAGAACGUCAUUCAAGUUACAAUCCAGUUUCUGGGAAAUCAAGAGCAACUGUCCUUAGAAAAUCCUUGCAAGACUGGAAAUACAGCUCUAGAGGCAGUUCAGAUUCCACCUAGUUCCUUUAUCACAAAAAGGAUUAUCAUCUCCCCUCUCCAGGAACUACUAUCUAGCCUAUCAUUAAUUCCUAAGACUGAAGAAAAAAAAAAAGAGGAGGGGAGAGGAAAAACGGCCAUAAGCGUGCCCUUGCAGAAAGUCUAGCAUCUUGAGUGUCUUCUCCGCAAAUAUUGGUAAAAGAAACCAAAACAAUAGCUGUACAGUCUCUGUGUACGUGUGUCUAUGUGUACAUUAUAUGUGUGAUAUUUUACCUCCGGUUGGUAUUGCCAAAAUUAAGAGCUCUGUUCAAUUGGCUUAAAGUAAGCG
Molecule: long non-coding RNA, 4569 nt
Organism: Equus caballus (horse)
Lineage: Eukaryota; Metazoa; Chordata; Mammalia; Perissodactyla; Equidae
Source: Ensembl